RNAcentral lists this transfer RNA (75 nucleotides) under Candidatus Falkowbacteria bacterium RIFOXYA2_FULL_47_19. Its description in RNAcentral is "tRNA-Cys". It matches the Rfam family "tRNA". From Rfam's summary of the family: Transfer RNA (tRNA) molecules are approximately 80 nucleotides in length. Their secondary structure includes four short double-helical elements and three loops (D, anti-codon, and T loops). The record is from RNAcentral. RNAcentral also lists the same sequence under 2 other names. Lineage: Bacteria; Candidatus Falkowiibacteriota.
GGCCUGGUAGCCAAGCGGUAAGGCAACAGUUUGCAAAACUGUCAUGCACCGGUUCAAAUCCGGUCCAGGCCUCAA